ACAAGGGAAUUCACAAUUUUUAAUGCAAUAAUGGACUAGUAACUAGCAGAUGAAUGCAAACAGGGGUGCGGAUCAACAUAGAAGCCCUGCAAUUGAGAGGAAACAAAAACUAUAUUACAGUCACUUUAAGAUCUUUUUACAAGUUAUCACGUAUCUAGAUGCUCCAAGCAUCUCCCAAACUCUGAAGUGUUGCACCCCCUUGAAAAGAGUGCAUAUCACUGUGAGAUCCAGGUCCUCCCUCCGGUCGCCUUGUGGACCCCUUCUCUCACCUUUCAAGGCUCCAGGGGAUUUACAGAAUGGACUCAAUUAAGUUUGAAUUUCCAGAGUUUGGAAAAGGUCCAGAGUGACUAGUUAACUAAACAUUAUAAGCCAGAGGCCCCAACCUGCUUUCCACAAGUCAGGAAGGUAACCUGGUUCCAUCUUAACAUAAGCUCAACCAAACACAACCUAACAAUCUAAAUGUGCAAUGUCAUCGGUGAAUAAUCCUCUAAAGAACUAUUUGAGAGAGCAUUACCAUUUCUGACUUCAAUACCUGCCUACUCCAAGAGCUUCAUUUCCAUCUACUAUUAUCACAAAGUGAGCCAGGAAGUUUGAACAUUCAUGUGGAACAGACACUAAUUUGAAAUAUCAGAAAGUCGUCUUACCCGUAUUCAGCUUUUCUCAACUUCUUGGAUAGUAUCUUCACUGAACCCUUGAACUUGAGUUGCAGGUUCGGCUAACAAAAAUAAAGAAUAACUCAGUGUAGAAAAAGGAAAUACAUGCACGUCACACACAAUAAGAAUUAUCUCAUGAUAUUUAAAGGACAUAGAAAGCAACAUAUCCUCGCAGGAAAAUAAUAUUUUUACAAUUUAAAGUAGGAACCAAUCUUUUAUCCCCUCCCAGAUGACAAAAAAUCAACCAACAAUUGCCCCUUUCUAAGAUUCCGAUGGUAAAAUAUAUCUUCCCGCAGCAGCGAAAGAAAAGCCAAAAUAAGUUUGGGUUGAUGAGUCGAAUAUUUUUAUCUAAACCUCCUUUCACAAUCACAAAGCCUAUUGUGAGAUUGUCAUAUUUUCCAACAAAAGUAUUCCCUAAAAUGUAAAAAAAAAUACCCCUUUAAACAGCAAAAUGUCCCAACUUGAAUUACUCGUCAGUGACAUCAAUAAAUGAAAACAUACCUAUAACCGUUUGAUAAAUCCCAUAGAAUCACCUUUAAGAUUUGUUCCUAGUUACACCACCUCAUCACCAAUAUCUAGCUUAGCUCUAUCAAAUUAAUGAGAGUGAGAACCAACAGGGAACAACCGACAAGUGGAGCAAUUUUCUACUUCAAAAGUCCAAAGUCAAUCUGGCACUUCUUUAUAAGUCAGCCGUUUGGUAAAUAGUGCCAAAGAACUGUGCAUAAAGU
RNAcentral lists this long non-coding RNA (1381 nucleotides) under Actinidia chinensis (golden kiwifruit). RNAcentral's name for it is "long non-coding RNA (ACHI_LNC005845)". Lineage: Eukaryota; Viridiplantae; Streptophyta; Magnoliopsida; Ericales; Actinidiaceae. The record is from RNAcentral.